RNAcentral lists this ribosomal RNA (465 nucleotides) under Vreelandella stevensii. RNAcentral describes it as "partial 16S ribosomal RNA". It matches the Rfam family "Bacterial small subunit ribosomal RNA", at positions 338 to 795 of the family's 1533-position model. Lineage: Bacteria; Pseudomonadati; Pseudomonadota; Gammaproteobacteria; Oceanospirillales; Halomonadaceae. The record is from RNAcentral.
CCUACGGGAGGCAGCAGUGGGGAAUAUUGGACAAUGGGGGCAACCCUGAUCCAGCCAUGCCGCGUGUGUGAAGAAGGCCCUCGGGUUGUAAAGCACUUUCAGUGAGGAAGAACGCCUGGUGGUUAAUACCCAUCAGGAAAGACAUCACUCACAGAAGAAGCACCGGCUAACUCCGUGCCAGCAGCCGCGGUAUUACGGAGGGUGCGAGCGUUAAUCGGAAUUACUGGGCGUAAAGCGCGCGUAGGUGGCUUGAUAAGCCGGUUGUGAAAGCCCCGGGCUCAACCUGGGAACGGCAUCCGGAACUGUCAAGCUAGAGUGCAGGAGAGGAAGGUAGAAUUCCCGGUGUAGCGGUGAAAUGCGUAGAGAUCGGGAGGAAUACCAGUGGCGAAGGCGGCCUUCUGGACUGACACUGACACUGAGGUGCGAAAGCGUGGGUAGCAAACAGGAUUAGAUACCCUAGUAGUC